CCGGGCACUGCAGCCGUGCAGGAUCUCCCAGCGCUCUGGAGUCUGCAGGGGAGGAAACUGGGGGAGGGGAAGGGGAAGUGCCCCGCGGGACAGUCUGCAGAGCGCGGCCUUCUCUCUUGGGGGUACCCGCUCGUAACCACGAGUGGGAACCUCGCGGCGCGGGACGACCUUAACACCGGGAGAGGAGCCUGCACUUCCCGCCACGGCCGCUGGGUGUCACUGAAGCCGCGCGGCUGAGCCGGCUCGGCGCCGUCGGAAGGCGGAGGCGUGGGUCCCGGGAGCCGCAGGACCGGAGCCCGCCGCGUCGGCGCAGGCCCCCACCGACUCGCAAUGAAGAACAAACUAACCCCCUUGCCCCGCGACGGAUGGGCUCAUUGAUGUGGAGCCACGCGAGCCACCUCCCGCCGGCCCGGCGAUCAACGGCGCGUACUCGGCUGCCCUGUGGGGCUGGGUGCGCUGAGCCCAGCCCUCGAAGCGCGCCCCCUGGUGAAAUGCGCGGGGCUUCCCGCCACAGAAGCCAAGGCGGCUCUACCGAGUCCGGCGCCCGUCCGCGACAGCAACUGCAUGUAGGCCGGGUUGUUCCUGGGGAGAAGGGAGCGGAAGGGAGCGGAAGGGCGGGCGCCGGAUGCAGCGGACCUUCCGCACGUGCUGCCGAGCUAGAGCAACUGCGGGAUGCGUCCCUGAGUGCAUCCUCACUCCUAUUCCAGCUUCGCCCAACUCUUAGGUCACGUGCUACUCACCCAGACGCCCCUCCCCACCCCGCAGCACACCCCUUUGAUGUGUGGGAAGGGCUGGCUCAGCUGAGAGAAGGGAACCAGAAGGUGGGAACCUCUAUCGGGACUGAGAGGUGUGAGAGGGCCGUGGGUGGGCCAAAGCUGGAAGAACAGAGAUAUCCUGGAAUCUUUUGGAAAAUUGGGGUAGUGUCUGGUAGGAAUGCCCACUUCUACCGUGUCCUGGGUCUAACUCAGGGUGGGGGAUUGGCUAGGUAGAUGCAGAGGAACGCAUCCGUUGGCCUGCGGGUCUGUGGGGGUGCAGGCGGCGCACUCUGUCCCUGCAUACAGCUUCCCCUCCAACUUCAAUGUCACAGGGCCCAGCUCCAUUACC
Molecule: long non-coding RNA, 1104 nt
Filed under: Equus asinus (donkey)
Lineage: Eukaryota; Metazoa; Chordata; Mammalia; Perissodactyla; Equidae
Description: lncRNA (ENSEASG00005038654.1)
Source: RNAcentral